GAUAGACGCUAGCGGCAGGCUUAACACAUGCAAGUCGAGGGGCAGCAUAGAUUGUAGCAAUACAAUUGGUGGCGACCGGCGCACGGGUGCGUGACGCGUAUGCAACCUACCCGUCACAGGGGGAUAAUCCGGAGAAAUCUGGUCUAAUACCCCAUAACAUAUGGAUCGGCAUCGGUUCAUGUUGAAAUUUUCGGAGGUGACGGAUGGGCAUGCGUAGCAUUAGCUUGUUGGUGAGGUAACGGCUCACCAAGGCGACGAUGCUUAGGGGGACUGAGAGGUUUUCCCCCCACACUGGUACUGAGACACGGACCGGACUCCUACGGGAGGCAGCAGUGAGGAAUAUUGGCCAAUGGGCGCAAGCCUGAACCAGCCAUGCCGCGUGCAGGAUGACGGCUCUAUGAGUUGUAAACUGCUUUUGUACGAGGGUAAAGUGGGUUACGUGUAACCUUUUGAAAGUAUCGUACGAAUAAGGAUCGGCUAACUCCGUGCCAGCCGCCGCCGUAA
RNAcentral lists this ribosomal RNA (504 nucleotides) under uncultured bacterium. RNAcentral describes it as "partial 16S ribosomal RNA". It matches the Rfam family "Bacterial small subunit ribosomal RNA", at positions 28 to 523 of the family's 1533-position model. The record is from RNAcentral.